This 440-nucleotide ribosomal RNA is filed under the name uncultured bacterium. RNAcentral's name for it is "partial 16S ribosomal RNA". It matches the Rfam family "Bacterial small subunit ribosomal RNA", at positions 338 to 795 of the family's 1533-position model. The record is from RNAcentral.
CCUACGGGAGGCAGCAGUGGGGAAUAUUGGACAAUGGGGGAAACCCUGAUCCAGCGACGCCGCGUGAGUGAAGAAGUAUUUCUGUACGUAAAGCUCUAUCAGCAGGGAAGAAAAUGACGGUACCUGACUGAGAAGCCCCGGCUAACUACGUGACAGCAGCCGCGGUCAUACGUAGGGGGCAAGCGUUAUCCGGAUUUACGGGGUGUUAAGGGAGCGUAGACGGCAGCGCAAGUCUGGAGGGAAAUGCCGGGGCCCAACCGCGGAACUGCUCUGGAAACUGUGAAGCUGGAGUGCAGGAGAGGUAAGCGGAAUUCCUGGUGUAGCGGUGAAAUGCGUAGAUAUCAGGAGGAACACCGGUGGCGAAGGCGGCUUACUGGACUGUAACUGACGUUGAGGCUCGAAGGCGUGGGGAGCAAACAGGAUUAGAUACCCUUGUAGUC